This 427-nucleotide ribosomal RNA is filed under the name uncultured bacterium. RNAcentral describes it as "bacterial SSU rRNA". It matches the Rfam family "Bacterial small subunit ribosomal RNA", at positions 355 to 796 of the family's 1533-position model. The record is from RNAcentral.
UCGAGAAUCUUCGACAAUGGGCGAAAGCCUGAUCGAGCGACGCCGCGUGCAGGAUGAAGGCCUUCGGGUCGUAAACUGCUUUUGCCGGGGAAGAAUUUCUGACGGUACCCGGCGAAUAAGGGGUUGCUAACUCUGUGCCAGCAGCAGCGGUAAUACAGAGACCCCGAGCGUUAUCCGGAUUCAUUGGGCGUAAAGCGUCUGUAGGGGGUUGUGUUAGUCUCCCGUUAAAUCACGGGGCUUAACUCCGUAACCGCGGGGGAUACGGCACAACUUCGAGUGCGCAAGAGGCAAGCGGAACUCAUGGUGUAGCAGUGAAAUGCGUUGAUAUCAUGGGGAACACCAAAGGCGAAGGCAGCUUGCUGGGGCGCCACUGACCCUGAGAGACGAAAGCGUGGGUAGCGAAUGGGAUUAGAUACCCCCGUAGUCC